RNAcentral lists this ribosomal RNA (442 nucleotides) under uncultured bacterium. RNAcentral's name for it is "SSU rRNA". It matches the Rfam family "Bacterial small subunit ribosomal RNA", at positions 26 to 518 of the family's 1533-position model. The record is from RNAcentral.
AGGAUGAACGCUGGCGGCGUGCCUAAGACAUGCAAGUCGAGUGGGUUUAGGCCCACGGCGAACGGGUGAGUAAUAUCUAGGAACUUUUUUCAAGUCGAGGAUAUCCUUCCGAAAGGAAGUGCAAUACUUGAUGUGACCGCAAGGUUAAAGUCGCAAGACGCUUGAAGCAAGGCCUGGACACCAUCAGCUAGUUGGCGAGGUAAAGGCUCACCAAGGCUUUGACGGUUAGCGGAUCUGAGAGGAUGACCCGCCACACUGGGACUGCGACACGGCCCAGACUCCUACGGGAGGCAGCAGUUUGGAAUUUUGGUCAAUGGGGAAACCCUGAACCAGCGACGCCGCGUGGACGAUGAAGGCCUUCGGGUCGUAAAGUCCUUUUAGCAGGGAAAAUUUUGAUUGUACCUGCAGAAUAAGAGGUUGCUAACUCUGCGCCAGCAGCCGC